Molecule: ribosomal RNA, 1292 nt
Filed under: Salmonella enterica subsp. enterica serovar Monophasic
Lineage: Bacteria; Pseudomonadati; Pseudomonadota; Gammaproteobacteria; Enterobacterales; Enterobacteriaceae
Description: partial 23S ribosomal RNA
Rfam family: Bacterial large subunit ribosomal RNA
Source: RNAcentral
UCCAGGUAAAUCCGGUUCACUUUAACACUGAGGCGUGACGACGAGGCACUACGGUGCUGAAGCAACAAAUGCCCUGCUUCCAGGAAAAGCCUCUAAGCAUCAGGUAACACGAAAUCGUACCCCAAACCGACACAGGUGGUCAGGUAGAGAAUACCAAGGCGCUUGAGAGAACUCGGGUGAAGGAACUAGGCAAAAUGGUGCCGUAACUUCGGGAGAAGGCACGCUGACACGUAGGUGAAGUGAUUUACUCAUGGAGCUGAAGUCAGUCGAAGAUACCAGCUGGCUGCAACUGUUUAUUAAAAACACAGCACUGUGCAAACACGAAAGUGGACGUAUACGGUGUGACGCCUGCCCGGUGCCGGAAGGUUAAUUGAUGGGGUCAGCGUAAGCGAAGCUCCUGAUCGAAGCCCCGGUAAACGGCGGCCGUAACUAUAACGGUCCUAAGGUAGCGAAAUUCCUUGUCGGGUAAGUUCCGACCUGCACGAAUGGCGUAAUGAUGGCCAGGCUGUCUCCACCCGAGACUCAGUGAAAUUGAACUCGCUGUGAAGAUGCAGUGUACCCGCGGCAAGACGGAAAGACCCCGUGAACCUUUACUAUAGCUUGACACUGAACAUUGAGCCUUGAUGUGUAGGAUAGGUGGGAGGCUUUGAAGUGUGGACGCCAGUCUGCAUGGAGCCGACCUUGAAAUACCACCCUUUAAUGUUUGAUGUUCUAACGUGGACCCGUAAUCCGGGUUGCGGACAGUGUCUGGUGGGUAGUUUGACUGGGGCGGUCUCCUCCUAAAGAGUAACGGAGGAGCACGAAGGUUGGCUAAUCCUGGUCGGACAUCAGGAGGUUAGUGCAAUGGCAUAAGCCAGCUUGACUGCGAGCGUGACGGCGCGAGCAGGUGCGAAAGCAGGUCAUAGUGAUCCGGUGGUUCUGAAUGGAAGGGCCAUCGCUCAACGGAUAAAAGGUACUCCGGGGAUAACAGGCUGAUACCGCCCAAGAGUUCAUAUCGACGGCGGUGUUUGGCACCUCGAUGUCGGCUCAUCACAUCCUGGGGCUGAAGUAGGUCCCAAGGGUAUGGCUGUUCGCCAUUUAAAGUGGUACGCGAGCUGGGUUUAGAACGUCGUGAGACAGUUCGGUCCCUAUCUGCCGUGGGCGCUGGAGAACUGAGGGGGGCUGCUCCUAGUACGAGAGGACCGGAGUGGACGCAUCACUGGUGUUCGGGUUGUCAUGCCAAUGGCACUGCCCGGUAGCUAAAUGCGGAAGAGAUAAGUGCUGAAAGCAUCUAAGCACGAAACUUGCCCCGA